GUUCUGAGACAAGCAGAAGUUUCAAAAUUUACUGAGCAAGGUAAACUGGCUCCCAAUUAGGAAGGACCCUAUCAAGUCACUGAUAUAGUUUGCCCAGGGACUUAUAGAAUUAAAAAUUUAGAUGGGUUUGUUGUUCCCCGCACUUAAAAUUUUAAAAAUCUCUAAAAAUAUUAUCAAUAAAAAUACUCUAACGAGCUCUUUCUUAUACAUCAUAUCCUCCCAUGUAUCGAGAUUUGGUUCUUAAACUGACAAAGCUCCAUAUGGCAC
This 267-nucleotide long non-coding RNA is filed under the name Elaeis guineensis (African oil palm). RNAcentral's name for it is "long non-coding RNA (EGUI_LNC029195)". The record is from RNAcentral. Lineage: Eukaryota; Viridiplantae; Streptophyta; Magnoliopsida; Arecales; Arecaceae.